Molecule: ribosomal RNA, 424 nt
Filed under: Acidobacteriota bacterium
Lineage: Bacteria; Pseudomonadati; Acidobacteriota
Description: Acidobacteria bacterium partial 16S ribosomal RNA
Rfam family: Bacterial small subunit ribosomal RNA
Source: RNAcentral
UGAGGAAUAUUGGUCAAUGGGCGCAGGCCUGAACCAGCCAAGUAGCGUGAAGGAUGACUGCCCUAUGGGUUGUAAACUUCUUUUAUAUGGGAAUAAAGUUUUCCACGUGUGGAAUUUUGUAUGUACCAUAUGAAUAAGGAUCGGCUAACUCCGUGCCAGCAGCCGCGGUAAUACGGAGGAUCCGAGCGUUAUCCGGAUUUAUUGGGUUUAAAGGGAGCGUAGGUGGACAGUUAAGUCAGUUGUGAAAGUUUGCGGCUCAACCGUAAAAUUGCAGUUGAUACUGGCUGUCUUGAGUACAGUAGAGGUGGGCGGAAUUCGUGGUGUAGCGGUGAAAUGCUUAGAUAUCACGAAGAACUCCGAGUGCGAAGGCAGCUCACUGGACUGCAACUGACACUGAUGCUCGAAAGUGUGGGUAUCAAACAGG